CAAUAGCGUAUAUUUAAGUUGCUGCAGUUAAAAAGCUCGUAGUUGGAUUUCGGGUGGGAAUGGCCGGUCCGCCGUUUCGGUGUGCACUUGCUACGCCCACCUUGCUGCCGGGGACGUGCUCUUGAGUUCACGCUCGGGACACGUAGUCGGCGAGGUUACUUUGAGUAAAUUAGAGUGUUCAAAGCAGGCCUACGCUCUGAAUACAUUAGCAUGGAAUAACACGAUAGGACUCUGGCCUAUCUUGUUGGUCUGUAGGACCGGAGUAAUGAUUAAGAGGGACAGUCGGGGGCAUUCGUAUUUCAUUGUCAGAGGUGAAAUUCUUGGAUUUAUGAAAGACGAACUACUGCGAAAGCAUUUGCCAAGGAUGUUUUCAUUAA
This 377-nucleotide ribosomal RNA is filed under the name uncultured eukaryote. RNAcentral describes it as "partial 18S ribosomal RNA". It matches the Rfam family "Eukaryotic small subunit ribosomal RNA", at positions 592 to 976 of the family's 1831-position model. The record is from RNAcentral.